CAUACACAAAACAGAAAUCUUC
Molecule: unclassified non-coding RNA, 22 nt
Filed under: Dictyostelium discoideum
Lineage: Eukaryota; Evosea; Eumycetozoa; Dictyosteliales; Dictyosteliaceae
Source: RNAcentral